RNAcentral lists this ribosomal RNA (115 nucleotides) under Callithrix jacchus (white-tufted-ear marmoset). Lineage: Eukaryota; Metazoa; Chordata; Mammalia; Primates; Cebidae. The record is from RNAcentral.
UGUUACAGCCGCAUCACCCUGAGUGUGCCUGAGCUUGUCUGAUCUCAGAAGCUAAGCAGGGUUGGGCCUGGUUAGUGGAUGGGAGACCGCCUGGGAAUACUGGGUGCUGUAGGUC